RNAcentral lists this unclassified non-coding RNA (467 nucleotides) under Talaromyces subericola. Its description in RNAcentral is "sequence contains 18S rRNA gene, ITS1, 5.8S rRNA gene, ITS2". The stretch from base 156 to 309 matches the Rfam family "5.8S ribosomal RNA". Lineage: Eukaryota; Fungi; Ascomycota; Eurotiomycetes; Eurotiales; Trichocomaceae. The record is from RNAcentral.
CUCCCACCCGUGUUUACCUAAAUCCCCUGUUGCUUGGGCGGGCCUACCGGGACACUGGUAGCCCGAGGACCCCGGUCCUCGGGCCUGUGCCCGCCGGAGCAUGUCUAUGAACGCUGAUGAAGAUAGGCUGUCUGAGUACGAUGGAUAAUCAUUAAAACUUUCAACAAUGGAUCUCUUGGUUCCGGCAUCGAUGAAGAACGCAGCGAAAUGCGAUAAGUAAUGUGAAUUGCAGAAUUCCGUGAAUCAUCGAAUCUUUGAACGCACAUUGCGCUCCCUGGCACUCCGGGGAGCAUGCCUGUCCGAGCGUCAUUUCUGCCCUCAAGCCCGGCUUGUGUGUUGGGCGUGGUCCCCCCAAAACAUUCGGGGGGACCUGCCCGAAAGGCAGCGGCGACGUUCCCGCCUAGGUCCUCGAGCGUAUGGGGCUUUGUCACCCGCUCGGGAGGGACCUACGGGCGUUGGCCACCCAC